GACGAACGUUGGCGGCGUGCUUAAUACAUGCAAGUCAACUGAAGCAGUGGUAGCAAUAUCGCUGUGGAGGUGGCGCACGGGUGAGUAACACGUAGGUAAUCUGCCUUCAGGUCUGGCAUAACUCCGGGAAACCGGGGCUAAUAGCAGAUGAUGCAGCGGCUCGACAUCGAGACAGUUGUUAAAGCUAUGGCGCCUGAAGAUGAGCCUGCGUCUGAUUAGCUAGUUGGCGGGGUAACGGCCCACCAAGGCAACGAUCAGUAGCUGGUCUGAGAGGAUGAUCAGCCACACUGGAACUGAGACACGGUCCAGACUCCUACGGGAGGCAGCAGUAAGGAAUAUUGCUCAAUGGGAGAAAUCCUGAAGCAGCAACGCCGCGUGAGGGACGAAGGGCUUGUGCUUGUAAACCUCUGUAGUGAGAGAAAAAAAUCCCAAUCUUUGGGACAUGAUGGUAUCUCAAAAGUAAGCCCCGGCUAACUACGUG
Molecule: ribosomal RNA, 481 nt
Filed under: uncultured bacterium
Lineage: Bacteria
Description: partial 16S ribosomal RNA
Rfam family: Bacterial small subunit ribosomal RNA
Source: RNAcentral